This 86-nucleotide transfer RNA is filed under the name Solirubrobacterales bacterium. RNAcentral's name for it is "tRNA-Leu". It matches the Rfam family "tRNA". Rfam says of the family: Transfer RNA (tRNA) molecules are approximately 80 nucleotides in length. Their secondary structure includes four short double-helical elements and three loops (D, anti-codon, and T loops). Further hydrogen bonds mediate the characteristic L-shaped molecular structure. tRNAs have two regions of fundamental functional importance: the anti-codon, which is responsible for specific mRNA codon recognition, and the 3' end, to which the tRNAs corresponding amino acid is attached (by aminoacyl-tRNA synthetases). tRNAs cope with the degeneracy of the genetic code in two manners: having more than one tRNA (with a specific anti-codon) for a particular amino acid; and 'wobble' base-pairing, i.e. permitting non-standard base-pairing at the 3rd anti-codon position. Lineage: Bacteria; Bacillati; Actinomycetota; Thermoleophilia; Solirubrobacterales. RNAcentral also lists the same sequence under 1 other name. The record is from RNAcentral.
GGAGGGUCUGGGAAUUGGUGAUCCCAGCUGGAUUAAGGCUCCAGUAUCGCUGUCAGGCAUUGCGGGUUCGAAUCCCGCGCCCUCCG